RNAcentral lists this ribosomal RNA (253 nucleotides) under uncultured bacterium. RNAcentral's name for it is "partial 16S ribosomal RNA". It matches the Rfam family "Bacterial small subunit ribosomal RNA", at positions 524 to 776 of the family's 1533-position model. The record is from RNAcentral.
UACAGGGGGUGCUAGCGUUGUUCGGAAUUACUGGGCGUAAAGGGCGCGUAGGCGGUCCUACAAGUCAGGGGUGAAAUACCGGAGCUUAACUUCGGAAUUGCUUUUGAUACUGUAGGGCUAGAGUAUGUUAGAGGAUGGCGGAAUUCCUAGUGUAGAAGUGAAAUUCGUAGAUAUUAGGAAGAACACCGGUGGCGAAGGCGGCCAUCUGGGACAUAACUGACGCUGAGGCGCGAAAGCGUGGGGAUCAAACAGG